This 772-nucleotide ribosomal RNA is filed under the name Staphylococcus succinus subsp. succinus. RNAcentral's name for it is "bacterial SSU rRNA". It matches the Rfam family "Bacterial small subunit ribosomal RNA", at positions 59 to 812 of the family's 1533-position model. The record is from RNAcentral. Lineage: Bacteria; Bacillati; Bacillota; Bacilli; Caryophanales; Staphylococcaceae.
CAGUCGAGCGAACAGAUCAGGAGCUUGCUCCUUUGAAGUUAGCGGCGGACGGGUGAGUAACACGUGGGUAACCUACCUAUAAGACUGGAAUAACUUCGGGAAACCGGAGCUAAUGCCGGAUAACAUAUAGAACCGCAUGGUUCUAUAGUGAAAGAUGGUUUUGCUAUCACUUAUAGAUGGACCCGCGCCGUAUUAGCUAGUUGGUAAGGUAAAGGCUUACCAAGGCGACGAUACGUAGCCGACCUGAGAGGGUGAUCGGCCACACUGGAACUGAGACACGGUCCAGACUCCUACGGGAGGCAGCAGUAGGGAAUCUUCCGCAAUGGGCGAAAGCCUGACGGAGCAACGCCGCGUGAGUGAUGAAGGUUUUCGGAUCGUAAAACUCUGUUAUUAGGGAAGAACAAAUGCGUAAGUAACUGUGCGCAUCUUGACGGUACCUAAUCAGAAAGCCACGGCUAACUACGUGCCAGCAGCCGCGGUAAUACGUAGGUGGCAAGCGUUAUCCGGAAUUAUUGGGCGUAAAGCGCGCGUAGGCGGUUUCUUAAGUCUGAUGUGAAAGCCCACGGCUCAACCGUGGAGGGUCAUUGGAAACUGGGAAACUUGAGUGCAGAAGAGGAAAGUGGAAUUCCAUGUGUAGCGGUGAAAUGCGCAGAGAUAUGGAGGAACACCAGUGGCGAACGCGACUUUUCUGGUCUGUAACUGACGCUGAUGUGCGAAAGCGUGGGGAUCAAACAGGAUUAGCAUACCCUGGUCGUCCACGCCGUAACGAUGA